This is a long non-coding RNA of Zingiber officinale, 935 nucleotides long. RefSeq lists it as uncharacterized. The transcript has 2 exons. The record is from RefSeq and is a predicted model, not a curated record. NCBI's taxonomy places the organism in Eukaryota, Viridiplantae, Streptophyta, Magnoliopsida, Zingiberales, Zingiberaceae.
CCGUCUAUCUCUUCGCCAUGUUUCGACCAUGCGUGAGUACGUGACGGCGGGGUUAACUUGACCGUCGACACGCCCUGACACCGCUGACGAGGAAAGAGAGGGACAGCAAUGAGAACGCUGAUUCAUUCCACCACCAAUGGCCACUUCCCAAAUCCCCAUCCCGAUAGAAAGAGAUAGAAGAAACUGACGCGAACAUCUCUCCUCUGCUUCUCCCUCCCGGCCACCGACGGGCUCGGAGUCGCACUCAUCACCUUCUCAAUUGGCGCCGGCCUCUAUACCUACUGCCAUAUGUCUAGGUCACUGCCAUUCUCAAUUCGAGUAAAAUUCCCAUUGAAUGUUAACUUAAUGAUAUCGGGGAGCAAUGACAUACUUGUGAGUUUUCAAGGAAGAGGGGCUCUUCCAGCAAGUGGAGUGCCACCAAGAGUCGACAUCAUCAACGUCUCCAUUAGAAGCCGGAGAGUAUGAUCCAAGCAAACCGAGCCGCUAAAGAGACAGAGAGCUUAAGUCGAGAAGGGGAGGAGCAAAGUGUUGAGCGAGAUGAAGAGGAGGUGAGGCAUGAUAAACAAAGAACAAUGGCCAGAGAGCUCAAGUGGAGAAGGGGAGGAGCGAAGUGCUGAGCGAGACGAAGAGGAGGUCAGGCCGAAGAACAAUGGAAUUUUAAUCCCACAUCGCUAAAUAAACUUUCCGAGUGCGACUGAGAACUUUAAAAGAAGGAAGGAUCUUAUCAUACAAUUCAUACCUUUCUCGGCCUUUUGGCUAAGAUCAAGUGUAGUAUCUGUUCUUAUCAGUUUAAUAUCUGAUACGUGGACCAUUGGUCCAUUAUGAUAUUAAAUUAAUUUUUUAUGGGGAGAGGGUUCAUUAUAAUAGCUUGCUAUUGGAAUCCUUGCACGUCGCCUUUGUGUUGCACUAUUGCAUAGGCUGGCGCACCCGACCAA